Molecule: ribosomal RNA, 163 nt
Filed under: Brassica carinata (Ethiopian mustard)
Lineage: Eukaryota; Viridiplantae; Streptophyta; Magnoliopsida; Brassicales; Brassicaceae
Description: 5.8S ribosomal RNA
Rfam family: 5.8S ribosomal RNA
About the family: 5.8S ribosomal RNA (5.8S rRNA) is a component of the large subunit of the eukaryotic ribosome. It is transcribed by RNA polymerase I as part of the 45S precursor that also contains 18S and 28S rRNA. Functionally, it is thought that 5.8S rRNA may be involved in ribosome translocation.
Source: RNAcentral
AAGCGACUCUCGGCAACGGAUAUCUCGGCUCUCGCAUCGAUGAAGAACGUAGCGAAAUGCGAUACUUGGUGUGAAUUGCAGAAUCCCGUGAACCAUCGAGUCUUUGAACGCAAGUUGCGCCCCAAGCCUUCUGGCCGAGGGCACGUCUGCCUGGGUGUCACAA